ACUUUCAUGUAUAUUUUUGUAGCAUCUACACAUGAUCAGGAUGUCUUUAGCUUCUAUGAAGACGAGCAACAUUGUAAUGGAUUCGAAGAAGUAUUGACACGAUAUGGAGACAUCGUUCCCCAUCUUUGACUUGCAGCUCCUGCAACCUCUAGCCACCGUAAGGGUUAAUCUAUAUCUUUUUUGUUCCUUACUGCAGGACCUACAUCUUUUGCACCAACUAUUAAGAUGGCCAUGACAAAAACAGAAACCUCACGUUCCAUUUCCCUCAAAACAUAAACCUCACCUUCCAUUUCGAAUUACAUCCUUCGUUUGAACCGCUGCUCAGUUCUCUCGCAGAAACUACUAACGAGAACAUCUUCUGAAAACCGCAAAUUUGGUGCACAUUCAAAGAAAAAAAAUCUUAAACCCAGAAAAGGUUGGGUUUUUUGUGAUUUGGGGGUUUUGUUUUCAAGAGGAGACCAGUUUGCUGGUGAUGAGGAUAUGCAGCAGCAAAGGUGUUAUGAUGAUGCAUCUGCAUUUGAUAAUAAAUGCAAGGAAAUUGACUGGUAAUUAACAGUAUUACCAUGUAUAUGUCUUCAGUUGUUGUUACUGAAAGUAUUUAGUUGAAUUCUACUAUUUAUAAAAAAAACAUCUAAACAAUGAUAUGUAAUCUGAGAGAAGAGAUUUAAUGGCAUUACUAUGUUUUUAGUUCGA
Non-coding RNA from Malus domestica (apple), 693 nucleotides. NCBI's taxonomy places the organism in Eukaryota, Viridiplantae, Streptophyta, Magnoliopsida, Rosales, Rosaceae. The record is from RefSeq and is a predicted model, not a curated record.